UACGUAGGGGGCGAGCGUUGUCCGGAGUUACUGGGCGUAAAGGGCGCGCAGGCGGUCUGGUAAGUUUGGAGUGACAGUGCUCGGCUUAACUGAGCAAGGCCUUCGAAAACUAUCAGACUUGAGCACUCAAGAGGGACAUAGAAUUCCGGGUGGAGUGGUGAAACGCGUAGAUAUCCGGAGGAAUACCAAAGGCGAAGGCAGUGUCCUGGGGAGUGUCUGACGCUCAGGCGCGAAAGCGUGGGGAGCAAACAGG
This 253-nucleotide ribosomal RNA is filed under the name uncultured bacterium. RNAcentral describes it as "partial 16S ribosomal RNA". It matches the Rfam family "Bacterial small subunit ribosomal RNA", at positions 524 to 776 of the family's 1533-position model. The record is from RNAcentral.